UGCUGGUGUUAUGUUCGAGUUUUAUACCUCGCCGGCCAAGUGUUAGUGAAUUUGAUAAAGUAUAUGACUACGAGAUCCUACGCUAUGAUGAUAAAUUGAACUCGUAUUACACAUUAAGUGAUUCAGGUAUGUGAUAUAUAUAUUAUAUGUGAGAUUGAUCUGACGGGAAUUAAGAAUGUGUAAUGAGUAACAUAUGAAAAGAUGUUGUAAAUUCAUAUGUAUAUUUGUAUAUGUGUGUAUUCAGUUAUUAUGCAAAGUUACAAGAUAGUUUUCGAUAUGCCAUUUAACUAUGAAUUUUGAAAGUAAGUGUGGGUAAGAAAUGAUACAGUAGUGAAAUUUGAAAGAAUUAAAGUUAAUCCGGAAGCUUGUAAAUACUAUGUUUAUAUGAGUUUGAGUAUAAACGGAGUAAAAUGAUAUGUGUUGUGCAUAAUCAACCAAAUAGUAUUGUACUCGGAAAGUGUUAUGUGAUUUCGAACAUUUGGUUUGUUUUUAAGUUCAACUGUUUAAAUUGCUUAAGACUUACUAAGCUUAUGAAAGCUUACUUUGAAUGUUAUAUUUCUCUGUUUAUUUUUGUAGAUCAUUGACUCUUACUAUUAGCUCGGGGAUCGUCAGUACUUCGUCACGCUAUCUACUAUUGUAGUAAUCAUGUGAUUUGGACUUAGCUUAUGGCAUGUAUAGGAUAAACUAUAAGUAGAAUGAUAUUUUGACUAUUGUAUAUAAGCCAUGCGAAUAUGGCAU
Molecule: long non-coding RNA, 738 nt
Filed under: Gossypium barbadense (sea-island cotton)
Lineage: Eukaryota; Viridiplantae; Streptophyta; Magnoliopsida; Malvales; Malvaceae
Description: long non-coding RNA (GBAR_LNC008415)
Source: RNAcentral